GGUGGUGGAGGUGAUUUAUACUCAUAGGGUGGUGGGGGUGAUGGUGAAGGAGGUGGGGGAGACUUAUAUUCAUAAGAUGGAGACUUGUGCUCAUAGGGUGGAGGUGGUGGAGAUUUGUAAAUGUAAGAUGGUGGAGGUGACGGUGAGGGAGGCGGUGGUGACUUGUAAAUGUAAGGUGGUGGUGGUGAUGGUGAUGGUGGUGGGGGUGACUUGUACUGGUAAGAUGGAGCCUUGUGCUCAUAUGGUGGUGGAGGUGACGGUGAUGGAGGUGGUGGUGACUUGUAAAUGUAAGGUGGUGGAGGUGAUGGUGAUGGAGGUGGGGGUGACUUGUACUGGUAAGAUGGUGCCUUGUGCUCAUAUGGAGGCGGUGGUGACGGUGAUGGAGGCGGUGGUGACUUGUACACAUAAGGUGGUGGAGGAGAAGAGUAAAUAUAACUAUCUGCAGCAGCAGAAACCACAGAAGUCGAAAUCAAAACAAUGACGAAUGCCAUUGCCAUUGGUGGCCAGUUAUGACCCCUUUUGGGGCUACUGGCCUUAGCAGUCAUGGGUAGAAUGAAAA
RNAcentral lists this long non-coding RNA (559 nucleotides) under Medicago truncatula (barrel medic). RNAcentral's name for it is "long non-coding RNA (MTRU_LNC006770)". Lineage: Eukaryota; Viridiplantae; Streptophyta; Magnoliopsida; Fabales; Fabaceae. The record is from RNAcentral.